This 1414-nucleotide long non-coding RNA is filed under the name Salmo trutta (river trout). Its description in RNAcentral is "lncRNA (ENSSTUG00000035747.1)". Lineage: Eukaryota; Metazoa; Chordata; Actinopteri; Salmoniformes; Salmonidae. The record is from RNAcentral.
GGAGACCCAUGGGGCGGCGCACAAUUGGCCCAGCGUCGGUUAGGGGAGGGUUUGGUGGGCAGGGAUGUCCUUGUCCCAUGUGCACUAGUGACUCCUGUGGGUGGCCGGGCGCAGUGCACUCUGACACAGUCGCCAGGUGAACGGUGUUUCCUCUGACAUAUUGGUGUGGCUGGCUUCCGGGUUAAGUGGGCAUUGUGUCAAGAAGCAGUGCGGCUUGGUUGGGUUGUGUUUUGGAGGACGCACGGCUCGAGACCUUCGGGAGUUGCAGCAAUGAGAUAAGACUGUAACUACCAAUUGGAUACCAUGAAAUUGGGGGAGAAAAAGGGGGGGGGAAACAAGUUACAAAAAAAACAAGAAAGGAUUUCAGAUCAAUCUGAGAUGGUGGGUGUCAUGGCUUGCUGAAAUGACAUGGAACCACCCUCUGUCUCAUCUCUCUCUCUCGCUCUUCAUCGCUCUCUCUCUCUCUCGCACCUUUUCAUCUCUCUCUCUCUUCCACUCUUGGCACCUCUUCAUCUCUCUCUCUCUUCCCCUCUUGGCACCUCUUCAUCUCUCCCUCUCUUCCCCUCUUGGCACCUCUUCAUCUCUCUCUCUCUCUUCCCCCUCUUGGCACCUCUUCAUCUCUUUCUCUCUCUCUUCCCCUCUUGGCACCUCUUCAUCUCUCGCUCUCUCUUCCCCUCUUGGCACCUCUUCAUCUCUCUCUCUCUUCCCCUCUUGGCACCUCUUCAUCUCUCUCUCUCUUCCCCUCUUGGCACCUCUUCAUCUCUCUCUCUCUUCCCCUCUUGGCACCUUUUCAUCUCUCUCUCUCUUCCCCUCUUGGCACCUUUUCAUCUCUCUCUCUCUUCCCCUCUUGGCACCUCUUCAUCUCUCUCUCUCUUCCCCUCUUGGCACCUUUUCAUCUCUCUCUCUCUUCCCCUCUUGGCACCUCUUCAUCUCUCUCUCUCUUCCCCUCUUGGCACCUCUUCAUCUCUCUCUCUCUCUUCCCCUCUUGGCACCUCUUCAUCUCUCUCUCGCUUCCCCCUCUUGGCACCUCUUCAUCUCUCUCUCUCUUCCCCUCUUGGCACCUCUUCAUCUCUCUCUCUCUUCCCCUCUUGGCACCUCUUCAUCUCUCUCUCUCUCUUCCCCUCUUGGCACCUCUUCAUCUCUUUCUCUCUCUUCCCUCUUGGCACCUUUUCAUCUCUCUCUCGCUUCCCCUCUUGGCACCUCUUCAUCUCUCGCUCUCUCUCUCUCUCCCUCUUCCCCUCUUGGCACCUCUUCAUCUCUCUCUCUCUCUCUCUCUCUCUCUCUCUCUCUCUCUCUUCCCCUCUUGGCACCUCUUCAUCUCUCUCUCUCUCUCUCCUUCUCUCUCUCUCNNNNNNNNNNNNNNNNNNNNNNNNNNNNNNNNNNNNNNNNNNNNNNNNNNNNNNNNNNNNNNNNN